GCGGGAUUGGAAAAGUGCACGAGGAGGGGUGGGAAGCGGAGACGGAGCGUGGUUGAAAUUCCACCAAAUGGAUAAGAGGCAGACAAAGUUUGACACGUUUAUCUUUUCAGUGGUUGGCCGACACGAAUGAACGAGUAAACGCUGCUUUUAGCCUAGUGGAAGUGUCAUAAAUGAAUACCUCCGUAUUAUGUAUUCACUGCACUGACUCUCCACGAGGGCACAAGUCCGCCUGACAAUUUUCGCGUAAAGAGAGGCAGCGCGGGAGAGCUCACUUGUAGCCUGGCAGAUCACUGGGGUCAGGGCCUGUUGCAGAGGGAGCCGUAUAUCCUGCGCCUCGGGCUCGUCAGAGUCGUGAAAGAAGAAAAGUUUUCUGCUAGCCCAUGCCGCCAGCAGCGUCACUAUCCCUCUACCUAACACACUGAGUUGACCUCCUCAGUGCUUGUGUGACAGGUGGUGAGGGUGAAGAAGGAGGGAGAGGUUAUCAGUGACCCAACUUCGCCCAAGAUGGAUGAGGAUUUCCUGAGCAGUACCCUGACUACCUCUGAAUCAGACCUGUCCUCAACCUCUUUUUUGACAUUGGAGGCAAAGGCAGCCUUCAUCUUUGUCCUCAUCCUUUUCCUCGUCUUGGGCCUCCUGAUCAUACGCUGCUUCCGUAUCUUGCUCGACCCUUACCGCAGCAUGCCCUCCUCUACCUGGACUGACUACAUGGAGAAGGACACCUUUGAUUACCGUAUUGCCUGAGGGGCCUUCCUUAUCAAAGGCUGCUGUACUGCAUCGCCUGAGGUGCUGGUGACCAGAGCUGCUGCAUUGCCAAAGAAGCAUCAAAGAUAACUAUCUAAGAGAGUUUCCACGUGUCCGGAUUCAGCGCAUUGAAACACAUCUUCUGAUUCCUGUGUUAUCUUGAGAUACGGGCUGACUAUAGAAUUGCCUGAGGACUCCUACUCUGAGGCAGGAACAAUGGCAGUGGGAGGUUCUUCACCUUGGCCACAAGGGGAUCACUGUGUUUCCUGAGCCCUUAAACAUUUCCGAGAUACUGCAGUGCCAGAGGGGUCCUUCACUGGUGCUACGAGGGAAGCUGGUGUUUUGCCCAAGGGACAGGCUAUAGUAACUGAAAUAGAAAAGCUGUUUUUCUCUUGAAGGAACAGGGGGAGCCUGUCCUCUCCUGCAGCAAGUGAUAUAACUACUCCAGUGACUGAGCACAGCUUGAUCACAUCACCUCCUAAACCUGACCUGGCAUGCUAAGAAAACCACCUUUUUGUACACAGCCCUUUCUGAUUUGUGUUCUAAAAUGUUGGUUUUGGUAAAGAGAGAGAUCUUUAAAGCUGUAAUUCUAUGGCCUAGGUUUUAGGUUACUGUACUUAGUCAGUCAGUAACACACACACACACACACACACACACACACACACACACACACACACACACACACACACACACACACACACACACACACACACACACACACACACACACACACACACACACACACACACACACACACACACACACACACACACACACACACACACACACACACACGGUCAUACAGGCCCCCUGUACAAACACACUACACAAACUAUUCUCCUACACAAAGACACCCACACAGACUCGCAACACUCAUGCACUCUAUGCUCAUAUAUACUCAGAAACAUGCAAAGACCUACAAUGACCAUCACACUUUGUCCAAUAUCACACCCCAGGAGCCUUUCGACAAACGUGGGAUUAUUCUGGCCACGUCAGGGGAACGAGUGCAGCACUUUCCUCUCUGUGACGAGGGGUGGGAGUGUGUGUCGUUAUCUCUCAAAUUAGCCUGCAGUUGUCCUUUUUCUGGGAGUGCAUUUCAGUUCAGCCACUGACGAUGAGUCUUAUUACUCUGGCUGUCACUGACAGUGCAGUGACAAGCCUGAAGAAAAUGAUUUCCACGUUAUCUCAACAAAAUAAUUCAAUGUGAUGACGUUGAAUCAGAGUGGAAAACUGAUUGAAUUUGCAAACAGUAAUCAAUGUGAGGGAAUUUCUGCCUAAAUCCAAUGACGGUGAUUUUUUGUUGUUGAUUUUAAGUUGAAUUCACAUUAGUUGACAACUCCACCAAAUGUAAAUCAAAACUAGACGUUGAACUGACGUCUGUGCCCAGUGGGGCAACAAUUCACUGAAACACGGCUAUUACUACUACACAGAUGUAGAAUCUUAAUUUGAUCAGUCUUUUGUUGCUGAGAAUUUACAAGCACAGCAGGAAAUGCAACCAUUUAGUGUAUUUGAGGUUUAAAAAGGCUUCUAUAAUUUAUUGUUUCCAUUUAGACAUUUCUAACUUGAUUUAUUAAAAAAAUGUGUUAUCAACCUUUACAAAAAUGUCCAGUAAUUAUAAUCCACAUAAUAAUUCACCAUGUCCUGUUGCUGGAGGAUGAUUUUCCUGCUGUAGAAAACUGACUAAAAUUAAGAUCCUACAUAUGUAGCACAAGACUCCUGAAAGUUCUGAAUCCUAACUUGAAAUAAAUUUGCGUAACUCAUAGUUUCUGAACUGGGGACCUAUCUCAAUCGACUGAGAGUCAUGUAACCAGGUGGCAUUAUUAGUGCUGUAUACCGGCACAGAUGUUCACUGAAUGCAGACUUUCUCUGUUUCUAAUCCCUUUAAUGCCGAUUUUCACCGCUCUUAGUCUGUCUCCUCCUCUUUGUUAGCUCUUUGCCUUACAUAAAGCUUGUUUACAUUUGACAAACUGGUGGUGGAACAGCCUGGGAGCCUAUAGCGUCACAAGACAUUUAUUACCCUUUAAGAUAGUUGCCCUUUGAGGGAGUUCUGCAUGUAUAUUCUCUGAUGAAAGUUCCUGUUAUGAUGAGCUGCUGCUCUACCUGCAAAGAGACUCGGAUGAUCUGUGUUGUUUGGGAAACUGGAAAUGCGUGUUACUGUAUGUGAUUAAAUUGGGAUUUUUUUUGCAGAUCCCAAAUCUUAGAACAUGUUUGCUCCUCCUUUGAUGUUCUAGUCCAGGGAUGGGCAACUUUGAUGUGGGUGUGAGCCACCAUAAAUCUGAAGUCAUUAUGAGGGGCUGCAGUGGCUCACGGUUCUGCAUACCCACAUCCAUAACCGCACAUGCAGUCAGAAACAGCCCUAGACUUUUGGGGGCCCUGAGCAGAAUGUUUUAGUUUUUUGGGGGGGGGGAAUUCAUCCGCAGGCGUGCAAAAGGACCAGUUUCCCAUCCCUGCUCUAGACUGGCCGUUUACAUGUCUCUGGAUUACAGCAUCUGCUAAAUGACUAAAAUGUAAAUGUUAACCAAGGGGUGAUUUUAUUAUUGAAUUAGAUCAUAAGUCAUUUGACAUAAAUAUCCAAACAUGUUUUAUUAGACAGCGAUACUAUGAUCUGACAUAUUGACCACAUACAUGUCUGUUUCAUUGGAAUGUCAUGAGGAGAGACGCAACUCAGUUGACUGUAUUUUCCAAAAGGUUGUGGCAUUUUUUUGUUUUUGCAUAUGUCUGUAUACAAGUCCUUAUUGUUGUACUCGCUCAUUGGCUUACUGCAUUGGUGACAUCAAUUCACAUUGAUCACAAACAGGGCAGUGCAUAACAUCUUUUUUUGUUUCAGCAUUCAGUUGAACAUGGGUAACUUCAAAAACAUGACUUAAGAGAGAGUAUUGUGUUUACAUUAGAAGUUUAUUCCACUGCAACUCUGUUACUACAUACACCGUCUCAAUGCAAAUGCUUUGAUACAGAUUCGGGAUGGUGGUCAAAUUACAUUAGAAACAAGCCUUAUAUUCCAUUUUAGACUUUAUGUACAGAGUUCAAAUUACGACGUGUUGAAUUACUUGACAUGACUAGAAAAGUAUCUUUACAGUAUAUUUUGCUGUUAUUGAGAGUUAUUCUAGUAGGAUAAACCUGCUGUUUACGUACAAUGGUCCAGCCUACUGUUUAAUCUUGUGAUCUCUUUUACAAGUGUUUUCUUCUUGUUUGGUAAAUAAAUAAAGCUUCUUCUUG
Oncorhynchus gorbuscha (pink salmon) is the source of this 3957-nucleotide long non-coding RNA. RefSeq lists it as uncharacterized. The record is from RefSeq and is a predicted model, not a curated record. The transcript is spliced from 3 exons. Lineage: Eukaryota; Metazoa; Chordata; Actinopteri; Salmoniformes; Salmonidae.